This 978-nucleotide ribosomal RNA is filed under the name Alella igillimpethu. Its description in RNAcentral is "SSU rRNA". It matches the Rfam family "Eukaryotic small subunit ribosomal RNA", at positions 31 to 1001 of the family's 1831-position model. Lineage: Eukaryota; Metazoa; Arthropoda; Copepoda; Siphonostomatoida; Lernaeopodidae. The record is from RNAcentral.
CUUGUCUCAAAGAUUAAGCCAUGCAUGUCUAAGUACAAGCCACAUGAAGGUGAAACCGCGAAUGGCUCAUUAAAUCACACCUAAUAUACUGGAUAUUAUCAGUUACUUGGAUAACUGCGGUAAUUCUGGAGCUAAUACAUGCACUCAAGCCUCGCACUUAGGUGAGGGGCGCUUUUAUUAGAUCAAAACCAAACGCCUUCUUACGGGGGCGUAUUUUUGGUGACUCUGAAUAACCUUUUGCUGAUCGCAUGGCUUGAAGCCGGCGACGUAUCCUUCUAAGGUGUGCCCUAUCAACUGUCGACUGUGGUAUAGUCGACCACAGUGGUUUUGACGGGUAACGGGGAAUUAGGGUUCGAUUCCGGAGAGGGAGCCUGAGAAACGGCUACCACUUCUACGGAAGGCAGCAGGCACGCAAAUUACCCACUGGUCGAAGACCGAGGUAGUGACGAAAAAUAACGAUACCGGACUCAUCCGAGGCCCGGUAAUCGGAAUGAGUACACUUUAAAUCCUUUAACGAGGAACAAUUGGAGGGCAAGUCUGGUGCCAGCAGCCGCGGUAAUUCCAGCUCCAAUAGCGUAUAUUAAAGUUGUUGCGGUCAAAAAGCUCGUAGUUGGAUCUCGCAGGUUGGGGGUGGUUCAUUAUUUAAUGUUUACUGCUCCAUGAACUUGUGUUUUUUGACAGAGGUUCCAAGGUGCUCUUAACCGAGUGUCGUGGGAUGCUGUCAGGUUUACUUUGAAAAAAUUAGAGUGCUCAAAGCAGGCUUUACAAGCUUGAAUAUUGGUGCAUGGAAUAAUAGAAUAGGAUGUUGUGUCCUUUUUGUUGGUUGUAGGAUAUUAACAUAAUGAUUAAUAGGGACAGUCGGGGGCAUUAGUAUUCAGACGACAGAGGUGAAAUUCUUGGACCGUUUGAAGACUAACUACUGCGAAAGCAUUUGCCAAGAAUGUUUUCAUUAAUCAAGAACGAAAGUUAGAGGUUCGA